UCUCUCUCUCUCUCUCUCUCUCUCUCUCUCUCUCUAACCUACCAAAAACUAGGAGCAUGACUGAGAGAGAGAGAGAGAGAGAGAGAGAGAGAGAGAGAGAGA
This 102-nucleotide microRNA precursor is filed under the name Prunus dulcis (almond). Its description in RNAcentral is "sRNA ncRNA". The record is from RNAcentral. Lineage: Eukaryota; Viridiplantae; Streptophyta; Magnoliopsida; Rosales; Rosaceae.